ACCUCAAGUCAAGUAAGAAUACCCGCUGAACUUAAGCAUAUCAAUAAGCGGAGGAAAAGAAACUAACAAGGAUUCCCUUAGUAACGGCGAGUGAAGUGGGAAGAGCUCAAAUUUUAAAUCUCCGAGGUUUCCUUGGCGAGUUGUAAUUUGAAGAGAGUGUUUUGACAUUCAGGUUUAAUUUAAAUCCUUUGGGAUAAGGUAUCAUAGAGGGUGAGAAUCCCGUUUAUGAUUAAAUCUUGAGUGUCACUUAAUUCACUUUCCAAGAGUCGAGUUGUUUGGGAUUGCAGCUCAAAACGGGUGGUAAAUUUCACCUAAGGCUAAAUAUAUGCAAGAGACCGAUAGCGAACAAGUACCGUGAGGGAAAGAUGAAAAGAACUUUGAAAAGAGAGUUAAAUAGUACGUGAAAUUGUUGAAAGGGAAACGAUUGAAGUCAGUCAUGCUAGUGGGGAAUCAACUUGAUGGUGUGUGGGUUCUCUCGCAUACUUUCCGGUGCACUUCCUUACUCGGCAGGUUAGCAUCAAUUUCGGUUAUCAUCCAAAAUUUGAGGGAAUGUGGCUCUUCUUCGGAAAAGUGUUAUAGACCUUGAUCUAUGUGGUGACCGGGAUUGAGGAUUGCAGCGGAUACCCUCGUGGCUUGUCACCUGGCUUCUGACGGUUACCCCGCUUUCGAUAGCUCGCUAACGUUAGUGGGACUCGAUUGUCUAGAUGUUAGAGUGAAUAAUUUUCGCUAAGGAUGCUGACGUAAUGGCUUUAAACGACCCGUCUUGAAACACGGACCAAGGAGUCUAACAUGUGUGCGAGUGUUUGGGUGUUAAAACCCGGAACGCGUAAUGAAAGUAAUCUUGGUGGGAACCCCUCGGGGUGCACCAUCGACCGAUCAGGAUAUUUUUUGAUAGAUUUGAGUAAGAGCACAUCUGUUGGGACCCGAAAGAUGGUGAACUAUGCCUGAAUAGGGUGAAGCCAGAGGAAACUCUGGU
RNAcentral lists this ribosomal RNA (976 nucleotides) under Acaulospora cavernata. RNAcentral's name for it is "eukaryotic LSU rRNA". It matches the Rfam family "Eukaryotic large subunit ribosomal RNA", at positions 1 to 868 of the family's 3401-position model. Lineage: Eukaryota; Fungi; Glomeromycota; Glomeromycetes; Diversisporales; Acaulosporaceae. The record is from RNAcentral.